AUUGAACGCUGGCGGCAUGCUUUACACAUGCCAGUCGAACGGUAACAGCACUUCGGUGGCUGACGAGUGGCGGACGGGUGAGUAAUACAUCGGAACGUGCCUAGUAGUGGGGGAUAACUACUCGAAAGAGUAGCUAAUACCACAUGAGAUCUAAGGAUGAAAGCCGGGGACCUUCGGGCCUUGCGCUACUAGAGCGGCUGAUGGCAGAUUAGGUAGUUGGUGGGGUAAAAGCUUACCAAGCCGACGAUCUGUAGCUGGUCUGAGAGGACGACCAGCCACACUGGGACUGAGACACGGCCCAGACUCCUACGGGAGGCAGCAGUGGGGAAUGUUGGACAAUGGGCGCAAGCCUGAUCCAGCAAUGCCGCGUGCAGGAUGAAGGCCUUCGGGUUGUAAACUGCGUUUGUACGGAACGAAAAGCUCUCUCCUAAUACAGGAGGGUCAUGACGGUACCGGAAGAAUAAGCACCGGCUAACUACGUG
RNAcentral lists this ribosomal RNA (482 nucleotides) under uncultured bacterium. RNAcentral's name for it is "partial 16S ribosomal RNA". It matches the Rfam family "Bacterial small subunit ribosomal RNA", at positions 30 to 507 of the family's 1533-position model. The record is from RNAcentral.